Molecule: long non-coding RNA, 454 nt
Filed under: Trifolium pratense (red clover)
Lineage: Eukaryota; Viridiplantae; Streptophyta; Magnoliopsida; Fabales; Fabaceae
Description: long non-coding RNA (TPRA_LNC004234)
Source: RNAcentral
UGGAAUGGAAGACUUGCAGUAGUGAAAGCAUCCAAGUUUGUCUCCUUUGUUUCUCGAUUCCCAGCAAAACAUGCAUAUACUAAAUUAAGAAUGCUUGCUUUUUAUACAUAGGGAAUUUAUUAAUGUCUCAUAAUUUGUCAUUCUCAGAGUAACUCAGUUCCACUUACAAACAAACCUACCAAACUCUAGCUAUAGCUAAGGGAUAGGGUUCAGAGAUCAUGCUGAUCGAUCAAACAACAGAGGAAGCAGAGGAGUUCACACCAAACAAACAGAACACAUGAACUUUUUCAAAGUGUUUCAUUUCGAGGCGACACGAGCACUUUCCCGGCAUUUCCUCCCAUCUCUUUGAAAUUCUCAAUUACUAUAUUUUGUCUCUGGAUCCUCGUGACUGAGUGAGUGACCACCGUUGUCCUCUUCAAUUCUUGAUGCACUCACCCACAUGCCUUCCUUCAAA